AAAGUCGUAACAAGGUUUCCGUAGGUGAACCUGCGGAAGGAUCAUUAUUGAAUAAACUUGGCUUGCUGUCGCUGGCCUCUCCGGAGGCAUGUGCACGCUUGUCCAUCUUUAUAUCUCCACCUGUGCACCUUAUGUAGAACUGGAAACAUCUUUCUGAGGCAACUCGGGAUUGGGGAUUGCUGUGUGUCUUCACCGACAUCGGCUUUCCUUGCGUUUCUCAGAACUAUGUUUUUCACAUACCCCAUUGAAAUGUAACAGAAUGUAUCACUAGGUCUUUGUACCUAUAAACAAAUAUACAACUUUCAGCAACGGAUCUCUUGGCUCUC
Molecule: unclassified non-coding RNA, 326 nt
Filed under: Basidiomycota sp.
Lineage: Eukaryota; Fungi; Basidiomycota
Description: partial contains small subunit ribosomal RNA, internal transcribed spacer 1, and 5.8S ribosomal RNA
Rfam family: Eukaryotic small subunit ribosomal RNA (bases 1-47)
Source: RNAcentral